UCUCCGUUGGUGAACCAGCGGAGGGAUCAUUACCGAGUUUUCAACUCCCAAACCCCAUGUGAACUUAUACCAUUUACAACCGUUGCUUCGGCGGGUUCUCGCCCCGGGCUUUACACCCCGGAACCAGGCGGCCCGCCGGGGGACCCAAACUCUUGUUAAUUUUUGUCAAAUCUGAAUCAAAACUAAGAAAUAAGUUAAAACUUUCAACAACGGAUCUCUUGGUUCUG
This 227-nucleotide unclassified non-coding RNA is filed under the name root metagenome. Its description in RNAcentral is "partial contains small subunit ribosomal RNA, internal transcribed spacer 1, and 5.8S ribosomal RNA". The record is from RNAcentral.